CACCACUCAAGCCUCGCUUGGUAUUGGGCGACGCGGUACGUCCGCGCGCCUCAAAUCUUCCGGCUGGUUCGAAUCGUCCCUCAGCGUUGUGGAAACUAUUCGCUAGAGGUGCGCGUUUCGGUCACGCCGUUAAACAAGCCAAUUUCAUUAAA
Molecule: unclassified non-coding RNA, 152 nt
Filed under: Rachicladosporium inconspicuum
Lineage: Eukaryota; Fungi; Ascomycota; Dothideomycetes; Cladosporiales; Cladosporiaceae
Description: partial internal transcribed spacer 2
Source: RNAcentral